AUACCUAUUCGAAGGGAUAGGGUCGGUUCGGCCGGAUUUUACACAAGUGUUGCAUGGCUGUCGUCAGCUCGUGUCGUGAGAUGUUGGGUUAAGUCCCGCAACGAGCGCAACCCUCAUCCUUAGUUGCCAUCAGGUAAUGCUGAGUACUUUAAGGAAACUGCCAGUGAUAAGCUGGAGGAAGGUGGGGAUGAUGUCAAGUCAUCAUGGCCUUUAUGGAGUGGGCUACACACGUGCUACAAUGGUGUCUACAAUGGGCUGCAAGGUGCGCAAGCCUAAGCUAAUCCCUAAAAGACAUCUCAGUUCGGAUUGUACUCUGCAACUCGAGUACAUGAAGUUGGAAUCGCUAGUAAUCGUGGAUCAGCAUGCCACGGUGAAUACGUUCUCGGGUCUUGUACACACUGCCCGUCACGCCAUGGGAAUUGGUUUCACUCGAAGCU
This 437-nucleotide ribosomal RNA is filed under the name Wolbachia endosymbiont of Cydia fagiglandana. RNAcentral's name for it is "bacterial SSU rRNA". It matches the Rfam family "Bacterial small subunit ribosomal RNA", at positions 993 to 1428 of the family's 1533-position model. The record is from RNAcentral. Lineage: Bacteria; Pseudomonadati; Pseudomonadota; Alphaproteobacteria; Rickettsiales; Anaplasmataceae. RNAcentral also lists the same sequence under 2 other names.